UGAGGGAAUAUUGGGUCAAUGGGCGAGAGCCUGAACCAGCCAAGUCGCGUGAAGGAUGAAGGUUCUAUGGAUUGUAAACUUCUUUUAUUCGAGGGUAAAGUGAGGUAUGUAUACCUUAUUGCAAGUAUCGAAUGAAUAAGCAUCGGCUAACUCCGUGCCAGCAGCCGCGGUAAUACGGAGGAUGCGAGCGUUAUCCGGAUUUAUUGGGUUUAAAGGGAGCGUAGGCCGGAGAUUAAGCGUGUUGUGAAAUGCCGCGGCUCAACCGUGGCACUGCAGCGCGAACUGGUUUUCUUGAGUGCGCGCGACGCAGGCGGAAUUCGUGGUGUAGCGGUGAAAUGCUUAGAUAUCACGAGGAACCCCGAUUGCGAAGGCAGCUUGCGGGAGCGCAACUGACGCUGAAGCUCGAAGGUGCGGGUAUCGAACAGGAUUAGAUACCCUGGUAGU
Molecule: ribosomal RNA, 444 nt
Filed under: uncultured Prevotella sp.
Lineage: Bacteria; Pseudomonadati; Bacteroidota; Bacteroidia; Bacteroidales; Prevotellaceae
Description: bacterial SSU rRNA
Rfam family: Bacterial small subunit ribosomal RNA
Source: RNAcentral